Long non-coding RNA from Oncorhynchus keta (chum salmon), 3215 nucleotides. RefSeq lists it as uncharacterized. NCBI's taxonomy places the organism in Eukaryota, Metazoa, Chordata, Actinopteri, Salmoniformes, Salmonidae. The transcript has 4 exons. The record is from RefSeq and is a predicted model, not a curated record.
AUCAGAGAGGGAGAGAAACAGUAUGAGGGAAUGAGUGAGAGGUGUAGAGAGAAAACUACACUAAAUGAUUUAGAGAGAAUAAAUGAAUGAUAUGGAAAGACUAUGUCCUGCAGUGAGUGUGUGUCAGUCAGUCAAUCAGCCAGCCUCCUGCCUGGUGGCCUGCUUUCCCCAGUCAGUCACAUGGUAGAGGUCUGGAGGAGUGACUGAAGUCUUUCCCCAGUCAGUCACAUGGUAGAGGUCUGGAGGAGUGACUGAAGUCUUUCCCUGGUCAGUUACAUGGUAGAGGUCUGGAGGAGUGACUGAAGUCUUUCCCUGGUCAGUUACAUGGUAGAGGUCUGGAGGAGUGACUGAAGUCUUUCCCUGGUCAGUUACAUGGUAGAGGUCUGGAGGAGUGACUGAAGUCUUUCCCUGGUCAGUUACAUGGUAGAGGUCUGGAGGAGUGACUGAAGUCUUUCCCUGGUCAGUUACAUGGUAGAGGUCUGGAGGAGUGACUGAAGUCUUUCCCUGGUCAGUUACAUGGUAGAGGUCUGGAGGAGUGACUGAAGUCUUUCCCUGGUCAGUUACAUGGUAGAGGUCUGGAGGAGUGACUGAAGUCUUUCCCUGGUCAGUUACAUGGUAGAGGUCUGGAGGAGUGACUGAAGUCUUUCCCUGGUCAGUUACAUGGUAGAGGUCUGGAGGAGUGACUGAAGUCUUUCCCUGGUCAGUUACAUGGUAGAGGUCUGGAGGAGUGACUGAAGUCUUUCCCUGGUCAGUUACAUGGUAGAGGUCUGGAGGAGUGACUGAAGUCUUUCCCUGGUCAGUUACAUGGUAGAGGUCUGGAGGAGUGACUGAAGUCUUUCCCUGGUCAGUUACAUGGUAGAGGUCUGGAGGAGUGACUGAAGUCUUUCCCUGGUCAGUUACAUGGUAGAGGUCUGGAGGAGUGACUGAAGUCUUUCCCCGGUCAGUUACAUGGUAGAGGUCUGGAGGAGUGACUGAAGGCUGAAGGCCUGAUAAGGGUCGAACGAAAUAAGUUUUUCUAGCAGCUCUGGCACAAGGUAGAAACCAGUAAACAGGAACAACACUACAGGAGACAGGAAACAGGAACAACACUACAGGAGACAGGAACAACACUACAGGAGACAGGAAACAGGAGCAACACUACAGGAGACAGGAAACAGGAACAACACUACAGGAGACAGGAAACAGGAACAACACUACAGGAGACAGGAAACAGGAACAACACUACAGGAGACAGGAAACAGGAACAACACUACAGGAGACAGGAAACAGGAGCAACACUACAGGAGACAGGAAACAGGAGCAACACUACAGGAGACAGGAAACAGGAGCAACACUACAGGAGACAGGAAACAGGAACAACACUACAGGAGACAGGAAACAGGAGCAACACUACAGGAGACAGGAAACAGGAACAACACUACAGGAGACAGGAAACAGGAGCAACACUACAGGAGACAGGAAACAGGAGCAACACUACAGGAGACAGGAGCAACACUACAGGAGACAGGAACAACACUACAGGAGACAGGAAACAGGAACACUACAGGAGACAGGAAACAGGAACAACACUACAGGAGACAGGAACAACACUACAGGAGACAGGAAACAGGAACAACACUACAGGAGACAGGAAACAGGAACAACACUACAGGAGACAGGAAACAGGAGCAACACUACAGGAGACAGGAAACAGGAGCAACACUACAGGAGACAGGAAACAGGAGCAACACUACAGGAGACAGGAAACAGGAACAACACUACAGGAGACAGGAAACAGGAACAAUACUACAGGAGACAGGAAACAGGAGCAACACUACAGGAGACAGGAACAACACUACAGGAGACAGGAAACAGGAGCAACACUACAGGAGACAGGAAACAGGAACAACACUACAGGAGACAGGAACAACACUACAGGAGACAGGAAACAGGAACAACACUACAGGAGACAGGAAACAGGAGCAACACUACAGGAGACAGGAAACAGGAGCAACACUACAGGAGACAGGAAACAGGAGCAACACUACAGGAGACAGGAAACAGGAGCAACACUACAGGAGACAGGAAACAGGAACAACACUACAGGAGACAGGAACAACACUACAGGAGACAGGAAACAGGAACAACACUACAGGAGACAGGAAACAGGAGCAACACUACAGGAGACAGGAAACAGGAGCAACACUACAGGAGACAGGAGCAACACUACAGGAGACAGGAAACAGGAACAACACUACAGGAGACAGGAAACAGGAACAACACUACAGGAGACAGGAAACAGGAGCAACACUACAGGAGACAGGAAACAGGAGCAACACUACAGGAGACAGGAAACAGGAACAACACUACAGGAGACAGGAACAACACUACAGGAGACAGGAAACAGGAACAACACUACAGGAGACAGGAAACAGGAACAACACUACAGGAGACAGGAAACAGGAGCAACACUACAGGAGACAGGAAACAGGAGCAACACUACAGGAGAUAGGAAACAGGAACAACACUACAGGAGACAGGAAACAGGAGCAACACUACAGGAGACAGGAAACAGGAACAACACUACAGGAGACAGGAAACAGGAACAACACUACAGGAGACAGGAAACAGGAACACUACAGGAGACAGGAAACAGGAACAACACUACAGGAGACAGGACACUUCGGUAGGUCUAUAUAGGCUGCUACAACACCGUACUGCACUGUUGUGUGUGUGUGUGUACACACACGUUGACGCCACAACCAACUACAAGUCAAGAUAGAUAACAUACUAAACUCAUACAGCACGUACACACUAUUCAUUCUACUCUUUCACUCGCUUUUUUGAGUCAAACGGAGAGGACAAACUGAAUUAGCUGUUCAAAUAUUGACGGGGAGAAAUUGGUGGUCUCGCACUGCUGUCAGUGAGAGGGGCUCCUAAACAUACUUGGUCAGGUUUAGAGGUCUGCAUUGAUUUAUUUUAGUUUUUUGUUUGUUUAAAUAUCGUAAAAAUAAAUGUAUGCUCUGGUCAGGCUUUAGUUCCCCUUUGGGCACAGAGCAACCAAUGUGUGGAGGAGCAGCGGCUCCAUAGAAAAGGAGCAGAGCCACCCUUCUCUCCUCCUCACCCUUCUCUCCUCACUCUCCUCCUCACCCUUCUCUCCUCCUCACCCUUCUCUCCUCCUCACUCUCCUCCUCACCCUUCUCUCCUCCUCCCCCUUCUCUCCUCCUCACCCUUCU